This 429-nucleotide ribosomal RNA is filed under the name bacterium. Its description in RNAcentral is "partial 16S ribosomal RNA". It matches the Rfam family "Bacterial small subunit ribosomal RNA", at positions 355 to 776 of the family's 1533-position model. The record is from RNAcentral.
UAGGGAAUCUUCCACAAUGGACGCAAGUCUGAUGGAGCAACGCCGCGUGAGUGAAGAAGGUUUUCGGAUCGUAAAGCUCUGUUGUUGGUGAAGAAGGAUAGAGGCAGUAACUGGUCUUUAUUUGACGGUAAUCAACCAGAAAGUCACGGCUAACUACGUGCCAGCAGCCGCGGUAAUACGUAGGUGGCAAGCGUUGUCCGGAUUUAUUGGGCGUAAAGCGCGCGCAGGCGGAAUGAUAAGUCUGAUGUGAAAGCCCACGGCUCAACCGUGGAACUGCAUCGGAAACUGUCAUUCUUGAGUGCAGAAGAGGAGAGUGGACUUCCAUGUAUAGCGGUGGAAUGCGUAGAUAUAUGGAAGAACACCAGUGGCGAAGGCGGCUCUCUGGUCUGCAACUGACGCUGAGGAUCGAAAGCAUGGGUAGCGAACAGG